GAUGAAGAACGUAGCAAAAUGCGAUAAGUAAUGUGAAUUGCAGAAUUCAGUGAAUCAUCGAAUCUUUGAACGCACAUUGCGCCCGCCAGUAUUCUGGCGGGCAUGCCUGUUCGAGCGUCAUUUCAACCCUCAAGCACAGCUUGGUGUUGGGACUCGCGUUAAUUCGCGUUCCCUAAAUUGAUUGGCGGUCACGUCGAGCUUCCAUAGCGUAGUAGUAAAACCCUCGUUACUGGUAAUCGUCGCGGCCACGCCGUUAAACCCCAACUUCUGAAUGUUGACCUCGGAUCAGGUAGGAAUACCCGCUGAACUUAAGCAUAUCAAUAAGCGGAGGA
This 332-nucleotide unclassified non-coding RNA is filed under the name soil metagenome. RNAcentral's name for it is "partial contains 5.8S ribosomal RNA, internal transcribed spacer 2, and large subunit ribosomal RNA". The stretch from base 1 to 120 matches the Rfam family "5.8S ribosomal RNA", at positions 35 to 154 of the family's 154-position model. The record is from RNAcentral.